Molecule: long non-coding RNA, 1692 nt
Organism: Magallana angulata
Lineage: Eukaryota; Metazoa; Mollusca; Bivalvia; Ostreida; Ostreidae
Exons: 2
Source: RefSeq, a predicted model, not a curated record
AGAAAUAAUGAUACAUAGUUUGAUUGAAUUAAUUCUCUCUUUAAAUAUUACACAACAUGAUUUAUAUGGUGUUUACCCGGAAUUCUUAAAAUUGUAGGAAAAGCCCAAUAAUUCAUUUUUUUAAAAAUGUGCGUAUUUCAAACCCGGAUUAAAAACUAUUUGUCAUGCCAAAUUACAUAUCGUUGAUAUUUAAAUAAAUAGAAAUCGAUAAAAUCACUUCCUGUCAGUACUUCAAUACCUUGAUUAUUAGUUUAAUCUCCACUGAAAUGAUGCCUCCAUCUAUCAGUACUUUCAGUACUUUGAUUAUAUUAUUCAGUCUAAACCUAAUGCAAUUUUAUACAAGCUUUGAUGUAGUAUUUAUUUACAAAUUAGAACUUGUUACCGACAAAAUUACGUCCCCACUUACCAGGAAAAUUUUGGCUACCACGAGCAUUGGCUCCUAACGAAUAAAAAUGAUUCCACAGUAAUUUAGAUUAUCAAACACAUUGUUCGGUGGUUUCUGUUUUGUCAAACCAUGAUGUAUAUAAUAAUUUGGGUAAAAUCAGGUUGUGACCCAUCUGCUGAAUUGUAUCUAAAUUGACUAAUCUCUUUGAUUAGACUGAAUUUGAGAAAACUUUUGAAAAAAAAUGUUGAAAACAUCUUACGUAUUUUGAUGAUUUUGGUUACCAUGUUCGUACGCAACUGUGAAAAAUGAUCUUUAUUCAUAAACAUUUAAUGUUUAUUCACUGAAAUUCGCUUGUUCACAUGUUUGACAAAAUGACUAAAAUUGGGCCAGUUGAUCAAAUAGAACGGAUGAUAUAGUACAAGGUCCACAGAUGAUUCCAGACGUUGUUUUGCAAUUCAACAUCUUUACGUCAUUUGGUGUCCAAUUAACGACAAUGAUUAUUUGAAGUCAGAAAGAAGGAAAACUACUACAAAAGCUCUCAAAAUUUUUGCAAAGAUCACAACACGUGUGGAGAGUCUUGAUGACGUUUUUUCAGCUUUUGUGGUAUUUUGCUUGGCUAUGUAAAUCCAUGUCACACAAGUUCCUUAAGAAAAAAUUGUUACAUAAGCUGUAGCAAUCGUCUGUUUUCCACUUUCUAACGCUAAGAUAUUAUGACUUGGAAAAUUCUUUUAAUUGUGUGCAUUGUUGGAAUAAUGGUGAAUUUUCACCAAGUGGAAGGAGUUUUAGAAAAUGACCUAUAUCAAUCCCGAGUCUUCAAAGAUAUCCUUCGAAAAAGUCUCACCAGAAAUAGACGAAGCAUAAACAGAUUUUGGGAUGGAAGUUGUACGAAGAUAGGGAGAGGAGGAUGGUUUUGGGGGGAUUAGAAGAAAAACAAUUAACCAUUUAAGUGUAUCCAAGAUAUUGGAUUUCCUGACAACAUGGUGGAAUAAUACUGUGUGGCAUACAUUGAACUUUUAAACUUAGUCGAGAAGAUUUCACUCUUUUGGUUAUUUGAACUUUUGUCUGACAAAGAUAAUAGUGUGGGUUUUUUUUUUCAAAACAAAAAUUAAACAAGUGCAUCAUCUUAUUUAUAUUUUAUGGCAAUUAAAUGCUGAUUUAUAGUUGGAUUCUGUUUUUACAUGGUCCUUAAGCACAGACAUGAAAGAAUUCUGUGCGUCAGCUUAAUUUAAUUAAUUUAUUUGUACAACAUGGCAUAUAUUGGAGAUCGACAAUGGCCCAAAUAACGAGAUAAAAUAGUUUAUUACAUG